This 419-nucleotide ribosomal RNA is filed under the name uncultured bacterium. RNAcentral's name for it is "bacterial SSU rRNA". It matches the Rfam family "Bacterial small subunit ribosomal RNA", at positions 335 to 750 of the family's 1533-position model. The record is from RNAcentral.
ACUCCUACGGGAGGCAGCAGUGAGGAAUAUUGGACAAUGAGGCAACUCUGAUCCAGCCAUGCCGCGUGCAGGAAGAACUGCCCUACUGGGUUGUAAACUGCUUUUAUUACGGAAGAAACACUCCUACGUGUAGGAACUUGACGGUACCGUAAGAAUAAGCAUCGGCUAACUCCGUGCCAGCAGCCGCGGUAAUACGGAGGAUGCAAGCGUUAUCCGGAAUCAUUGGGUUUAAAGGGUCCGUAGGCGGAUUAAUAAGUCAGAGGUGAAAGCCAGCAGCUCAACUGUUGAACUGCCUUUGAUACUGUUAGUCUUGAGUUAUUGUGAAGUGGUUAGAAUAUGUAGUGUAGCGGUGAAAUGCAUAGAUAUUACAUAGAAUACCGAUUGCGAAGGCAGAUCACUAACAAUAUACUGACGCUGAU